GAUGAACGCUGGCGGCGUGCCUAAUACAUGCAAGUCGAGCGAACAGAUAAGGAGCUUGCUCCUUUGAAGUUAGCGGCGGACGGGUGAGUAACACGUGGGUAACCUACCUAUAAGACUGGGAUAACUUCGGGAAACCGGAGCUAAUACCGGAUAACAUUUAGAACCGCAUGGUUCUAAAGUGAAAGAUGGUUUCGCUAUCACUUAUAGAUGGACCCGCGCCGUAUUAGCUAGUUGGUAAGGUAACGGCUUACCAAGGCGACGAUACGUAGCCGACCUGAGAGCGUGAUCGGCCACACUGGAACUGGGACACGGUCCAGACUCCUACGGGAGGCAGCAGUAGGGAAUCUUCCGCAAUGGGCGAAAGCCUGACGGAGCAACGCCGCGUGAGUGAUGAAGGGUUUCGGCUCGUAAAACUCUGUUAUUAGGGAAGAACAAAUGUGUAAGUAACUGUGCACAUCUUGACGGUACCUAAUCAGAAAGCCACGGCUAACUACGUGCCAGCCGCCGCGGUAA
This 513-nucleotide ribosomal RNA is filed under the name uncultured bacterium. RNAcentral describes it as "partial 16S ribosomal RNA". It matches the Rfam family "Bacterial small subunit ribosomal RNA", at positions 28 to 523 of the family's 1533-position model. The record is from RNAcentral.